Molecule: ribosomal RNA, 465 nt
Filed under: uncultured bacterium
Lineage: Bacteria
Description: partial 16S ribosomal RNA
Rfam family: Bacterial small subunit ribosomal RNA
Source: RNAcentral
CCUACGGGGGGCAGCAGUGGGGAAUAUUGCGCAAUGGGCGAAAGCCUGACGCAGCGACGCCGCGUGAGGGAUGAAGGUCUUCGGAUCGUAAACCUCUGUCAGCAGGGAAGAACGGUCACUGUGCUAAUCAGCAGUGAAUUGACGGUACCUGCAAAGGAAGCACCGGCUAACUCCGUGCCAGCAGCCGCGGUAAUACGGAGGGUGCGAGCGUUAAUCGGAAUUACUGGGCGUAAAGCGCUCGUAGGCGGUAUGUCAAGUCAAGUGUGAAAUCCCCGCGCUCAACGUGGGAACUGCCUUUGAAACUGGCAGACUGGAGUGUGUGAGAGGAUAGUGGAAUUCCAGGUGUAGGAGUGAAAUCCGUAGAGAUCUGGAGGAACAUCAGUGGCGAAGGCGACUAUCUGGCACAUAACUGACGCUGAGGAGCGAAAGCGUGGGUAGCAAACAGGAUUAGAUACCCCAGUAGUC